UACAGAGGGGGCAAGCGUUAUUCGGAAUUAUUGGGCGUAAAGGGCGCGUAGGCGGCCUGGCAAGUGGAAGGUGAAAUCCCUCGGCUUAACCGAGGAACUGCCCUCCAAACUGCUUGGCUUGAGACCGGGAGAGGUGAGUGGAAUUCCCAGUGUAGCGGUGAAAUGCGUAGAUAUUGGGAGGAACACCAGUGGCGAAGGCGGCUCACUGGACCGGUACUGACGCUGAGGCGCGAAAGCGUGGGGAGCAAACGGG
This 253-nucleotide ribosomal RNA is filed under the name uncultured bacterium. RNAcentral describes it as "partial 16S ribosomal RNA". It matches the Rfam family "Bacterial small subunit ribosomal RNA", at positions 524 to 776 of the family's 1533-position model. The record is from RNAcentral.